GCAGUCGUGGCCGAGCGGUUAUGGCGAUGGACUUGAAAUCCAUUGGGGUCUCCCCGCGCAGGUUCAAAUCCUGUCGACUGCG
Molecule: transfer RNA, 82 nt
Filed under: Dermacentor silvarum
Lineage: Eukaryota; Metazoa; Arthropoda; Arachnida; Ixodida; Ixodidae
Description: transfer RNA serine (anticodon UGA)
Rfam family: tRNA
About the family: Transfer RNA (tRNA) molecules are approximately 80 nucleotides in length. Their secondary structure includes four short double-helical elements and three loops (D, anti-codon, and T loops).
Source: RNAcentral